GUUAGGGUUUCCAGUGUGGCUGUUACCAGCAGUGAAGCCAUUGGGUCAUUCCUUUUUGGAGUUUCUACCUAUAUCAUGUAUAUGAUAUAUAUUUUUUGUUAGGGUUUUCAGUGUGGUUGUUACUGGUAGUUGCUGUUUAUUUGUUUUUUUGUUUAUUGUUUUGUACACAAACCAAGCAAAUAAUUUUCUUAUUAUUUUUUCAAGGC
This 206-nucleotide long non-coding RNA is filed under the name Mytilus galloprovincialis (Mediterranean mussel). The record is from RNAcentral. Lineage: Eukaryota; Metazoa; Mollusca; Bivalvia; Mytilida; Mytilidae.